Molecule: long non-coding RNA, 645 nt
Filed under: Mustela putorius furo (domestic ferret)
Lineage: Eukaryota; Metazoa; Chordata; Mammalia; Carnivora; Mustelidae
Description: lncRNA (ENSMPUG00000030333.1)
Source: RNAcentral
CUGGCAACAGCGUGGGCCACUGGGAGUCCUCUGACCACAGGGCUCUGCUCCCUCACUUUACCUGCCGGCCCAGGGACAUACACCUUCGGCACCCCGAGCCUCCAUGUGAGAAGUAUGGCUGCUCUGAAGCCAUUGUACCAGACAGAUGGACAGACCACAUACUGGAAACUAUAGCACUGGAGAAACAGAAAGGGACAUCUGAGGAGCCCAGUUGUUGAGUCUUCUCAGCCUAGGCACCAAGUCAUAUGGAAGAAGAAACUUUUGGGAUGACUCCUGUCCUGGCUAUUCUCUGAGUACAAAUGAAUGAGAGACCCCAAAAAAGAACCACCCAACUGAGCCUUAUCAUCUCCCAUAACUGUGAAAUAUCAUAAUAUUACAUUGCAGUCGCCCUUUACACCACUAAAUCUGGGCUGGUUUGUUACACAGCAGUCAGUAACAGUUACAGACCUCCUGAGUGUAGCUGAGAUGGAGAGCAAGCCAGAGGAGCUGUGGGGAAUGGCCGUCACCCAUGUGGGACCUCACUGUCACACUAUCUGCUGCCUUGCUGAAGGGCAGGUCACUCCCCAGGCCCUCACCAGGGAAGGCCAGCCUGGGAUUCUUCAAAUGUCCUCAAUGGUUUCGAAGCCUUGGCCUGCCCUGAUGUGA